This 440-nucleotide ribosomal RNA is filed under the name uncultured bacterium. RNAcentral's name for it is "partial 16S ribosomal RNA". It matches the Rfam family "Bacterial small subunit ribosomal RNA", at positions 338 to 795 of the family's 1533-position model. The record is from RNAcentral.
CCUACGGGAGGCUGCAGUGGGGAAUAUUGCACAAUGGGGGGAACCCUGAUGCAGCGACGCCGCGUGAGUGAAGAAGUAAUUCGUUAUGUAAAGCUCUAUCUGCCGGGAAGAAAAUGACGGUACCUGAGUAAGAAGCCCCGGCUAACUACGUGCCAGCCGCCGCGGUACUACGUCGGGGGCCAGCGUUAUCCGGAUUUACUGGGUGUAAAGGGGGCGUAGUCGGGAGUGCAAGUCUGGAGUGAAAGGCGGGGGCUCAACCCCCGGACUGCUCUGGAAACUGUACGGCUGGAGUGCAGGAGAGGUAAGCGGAAGUCGUGGUGUAGCGGUGAAAUGCGUAGAUAUUAGGAGGAACACCAGUGGCGAAGGCAGCUUACUGGACCGUAACUGACGUUGAGGCUCGAAAGCGUGGGGAUCAAACAGGAUUAGAUACCCUGGUAGUC